UACAGAGGUGGCAAGCGUUGUUCGGAAUUACUGGGCGUAAAGGGCGCGUAGGUGGCCUUUUGAGUCAGACGUGAAAUCCCCCGGCUUAACCUGGGAACUGCGUCUGAUACUGGAAGGCUUGAGUUCGGGAGAGGGAUGUGGAAUUCCAGGUGUAGCGGUGAAAUGCGUAGAUAUCGAGAGGAACACCUGCGGCGAAGGCGGGUUGCUGGGCUGACACUGACGCUGAGGCGCGAAAGCUAGGGGAGCGAACAGG
RNAcentral lists this ribosomal RNA (253 nucleotides) under uncultured bacterium. RNAcentral describes it as "partial 16S ribosomal RNA". It matches the Rfam family "Bacterial small subunit ribosomal RNA", at positions 524 to 776 of the family's 1533-position model. The record is from RNAcentral.